UUUUUGGGGUUGCUCGAGUGGCGAACGGGUGAGUAACACGUGAGUAACCUGCCCUUGACUUUGGGAUAACUUCAGGAAACUGGGGCUAAUACCGGAUAGGAGCUCCUGCUGCAUGGUGGGGGUUGGAAAGUUUCGGCGGUUGGGGAUGGACUCGCGGCUUAUCAGCUUGUUGGUGGGGUAGUGGCUUACCAAGGCUUUGACGGGUAGCCGGCCUGAGAGGGUGACCGGCCACAUUGGGACUGAGAUACGGCCCAG
RNAcentral lists this ribosomal RNA (255 nucleotides) under uncultured Actinomycetales bacterium. Its description in RNAcentral is "partial 16S ribosomal RNA". It matches the Rfam family "Bacterial small subunit ribosomal RNA", at positions 78 to 334 of the family's 1533-position model. The record is from RNAcentral. Lineage: Bacteria; Bacillati; Actinomycetota; Actinomycetes; Actinomycetales.